UACGUAGGGGGCAAGCGUUGUCCGGAUUUAUUGGGCGUAAAGAGCGUGUAGGCGGUUCGGUAGGUCCGUUGUGAAAACUCGAGGCUCAACCUCGAGACGCCGAUGGAAACCAUCGAACUAGAGUCCGGAAGAGGAGAGUGGAAUUCCUGGUGUAGCGGUGAAAUGCGCAGAUAUCAGGAAGAACACCAAUGGCGAAGGCAGCUCUCUGGGACGGUACUGACACUGAGACGCGAAAGCGUGGGGAGCGAACAGG
RNAcentral lists this ribosomal RNA (253 nucleotides) under uncultured bacterium. Its description in RNAcentral is "partial 16S ribosomal RNA". It matches the Rfam family "Bacterial small subunit ribosomal RNA", at positions 524 to 776 of the family's 1533-position model. The record is from RNAcentral.